UUGAACGCUGGCGGAAUGCUUUACACAUGCAAGUCGAACGGCAGCACGGGGGCAACCCUGGUGGCGAGUGGCGAACGGGUGAGUAACACAUCGGAACGUGCCCAAUCGUGGGGGAUAACGUAGCGAAAGCUACGCUAAUACCGCAUACGAUCUACGGAUGAAAGCGGGGGAUCGCAAGACCUCGCGCGAAUGGAGCGGCCGAUGGCAGAUUAGGUAGUUGGUGGGGUAAAGGCUCACCAAGCCAACGAUCUGUAGCUGGUCUGAGAGGACGACCAGCCACACUGGGACUGAGACACGGCCCAGACUCCUACGGGAGGCAGCAGUGGGGAAUUUUGGACAAUGGGCGCAAGCCUGAUCCAGCCAUUCCGCGUGCAGGAUGAAGGCCUUCGGGUUGUAAACUGCUUUUGUACGGAACGAAACGGCCUUUUCUAAUACAGAGGGCUAAUGACGGUACCGUAAGAAUAAGCACCGGCUAACUACGU
RNAcentral lists this ribosomal RNA (482 nucleotides) under uncultured bacterium. RNAcentral's name for it is "bacterial SSU rRNA". It matches the Rfam family "Bacterial small subunit ribosomal RNA", at positions 30 to 506 of the family's 1533-position model. The record is from RNAcentral.